RNAcentral lists this ribosomal RNA (1541 nucleotides) under Escherichia coli O121:H19 str. 2011C-3609. RNAcentral describes it as "bacterial SSU rRNA". It matches the Rfam family "Bacterial small subunit ribosomal RNA". The record is from RNAcentral. Lineage: Bacteria; Pseudomonadati; Pseudomonadota; Gammaproteobacteria; Enterobacterales; Enterobacteriaceae.
AAUUGAAGAGUUUGAUCAUGGCUCAGAUUGAACGCUGGCGGCAGGCCUAACACAUGCAAGUCGAACGGUAACAGAAAGCAGCUUGCUGCUUUGCUGACGAGUGGCGGACGGGUGAGUAAUGUCUGGGAAACUGCCUGAUGGAGGGGGAUAACUACUGGAAACGGUAGCUAAUACCGCAUAAUGUCGCAAGACCAAAGAGGGGGACCUUCGGGCCUCUUGCCAUCGGAUGUGCCCAGAUGGGAUUAGCUUGUUGGUGGGGUAACGGCUCACCAAGGCGACGAUCCCUAGCUGGUCUGAGAGGAUGACCAGCCACACUGGAACUGAGACACGGUCCAGACUCCUACGGGAGGCAGCAGUGGGGAAUAUUGCACAAUGGGCGCAAGCCUGAUGCAGCCAUGCCGCGUGUAUGAAGAAGGCCUUCGGGUUGUAAAGUACUUUCAGCGGGGAGGAAGGGAGUAAAGUUAAUACCUUUGCUCAUUGACGUUACCCGCAGAAGAAGCACCGGCUAACUCCGUGCCAGCAGCCGCGGUAAUACGGAGGGUGCAAGCGUUAAUCGGAAUUACUGGGCGUAAAGCGCACGCAGGCGGUUUGUUAAGUCAGAUGUGAAAUCCCCGGGCUCAACCUGGGAACUGCAUCUGAUACUGGCAAGCUUGAGUCUCGUAGAGGGGGGUAGAAUUCCAGGUGUAGCGGUGAAAUGCGUAGAGAUCUGGAGGAAUACCGGUGGCGAAGGCGGCCCCCUGGACGAAGACUGACGCUCAGGUGCGAAAGCGUGGGGAGCAAACAGGAUUAGAUACCCUGGUAGUCCACGCCGUAAACGAUGUCGACUUGGAGGUUGUGCCCUUGAGGCGUGGCUUCCGGAGCUAACGCGUUAAGUCGACCGCCUGGGGAGUACGGCCGCAAGGUUAAAACUCAAAUGAAUUGACGGGGGCCCGCACAAGCGGUGGAGCAUGUGGUUUAAUUCGAUGCAACGCGAAGAACCUUACCUGGUCUUGACAUCCACGGAAGUUUUCAGAGAUGAGAAUGUGCCUUCGGGAACCGUGAGACAGGUGCUGCAUGGCUGUCGUCAGCUCGUGUUGUGAAAUGUUGGGUUAAGUCCCGCAACGAGCGCAACCCUUAUCCUUUGUUGCCAGCGGUCCGGCCGGGAACUCAAAGGAGACUGCCAGUGAUAAACUGGAGGAAGGUGGGGAUGACGUCAAGUCAUCAUGGCCCUUACGACCAGGGCUACACACGUGCUACAAUGGCGCAUACAAAGAGAAGCGACCUCGCGAGAGCAAGCGGACCUCAUAAAGUGCGUCGUAGUCCGGAUUGGAGUCUGCAACUCGACUCCAUGAAGUCGGAAUCGCUAGUAAUCGUGGAUCAGAAUGCCACGGUGAAUACGUUCCCGGGCCUUGUACACACCGCCCGUCACACCAUGGGAGUGGGUUGCAAAAGAAGUAGGUAGCUUAACCUUCGGGAGGGCGCUUACCACUUUGUGAUUCAUGACUGGGGUGAAGUCGUAACAAGGUAACCGUAGGGGAACCUGCGGUUGGAUCACCUCCUUA